UAGAGGAGACCCCUCCCAAGAUACAACGCAGCAGCGGGGCCCAACACCAGGGGAAGCUGUACCCUGGUGGUAAGGACUAGAGGUUAGAGGAGACCCCCCGCACAACAAUAAACAGCAUAUUGACGCUGGGAGAGACCAGAGAUCCUGCUGUCUCUACAGCAUCAUUCCAGGCACAGAAA
Molecule: long non-coding RNA, 179 nt
Filed under: dengue virus type 1
Lineage: Riboviria; Orthornavirae; Kitrinoviricota; Flasuviricetes; Amarillovirales; Flaviviridae
Description: Dengue virus 1 partial sfRNA1
Rfam family: Flavivirus DB element (bases 35-106)
Source: RNAcentral